Long non-coding RNA from Papaver somniferum (opium poppy), 2640 nucleotides. RefSeq lists it as uncharacterized. Lineage: Eukaryota; Viridiplantae; Streptophyta; Magnoliopsida; Ranunculales; Papaveraceae. The transcript has 8 exons. The record is from RefSeq and is a predicted model, not a curated record.
UCUUUCUCUUUCUCUUUAUACCCAGACCAGAUCUAAAACCAGAUGAAGAAACUCAUCAAUACUCACCAACUGAAGCUGCGUUUGGAAGCACAGAUUUUCAACACUCUCCUAGCUGUGAUAAAUUGAGGAUAAUGAAGGAUUUCAAAGUAACGGUGCGCAAUAAAAGAUACAUUGAGGGGUGCAUUUCCAUAGGGUAUACCAUGCGAGAAGAUAGCUUAUAUUGCAUGGAGGAGGUGUCAAAAGAUGGUGAAGGUACUCAUAAACAUACUAGACCUGCCUGGUUAGAUGAUGAUGAUGAGUUUGUUGAUGAGAUUCCGUUAAGUAAAUCAAAGGAUAUUAAUUUAACCACAAUACAGUUUGGACAAGCUCGCAACUGGAUUCUAUCGAAACAUGUUGAUAUAGAAGACUGGAAAAGGAAGUAUGAUGCAUAUGCUAACAGCCGCAAGUCUCGUGGUCAGAAAAAUCGUUCCUCCCAUCCCCCCUCAAAGAGUUUUGUAUUAUGGUUAUGGGACGAGGGUCCUCUCUUCAAAGCACGGUCUUAUAAGAAGUACUAAGAUAAUGGCUUUGUUUUCCGCUCACAAGAUUACGAUGAUCGAAUGGUAACAAAAAACAGCGGUGUGUCGAUGAGAGCAAUUACGAGGCAUAGAGCGAAGUCCACUGACAGAAAUUUCAUCGAAGCAGAAGUAGUCUAUUAUGAAGUCAUUAAGAAUAUUAUCAAUUUAAACUACAUGGAAUUUGACGAAGUAGUAUUUUAUUGUGACUGGGUCAGAGUUGAAGAUAAUACAAAUGGGUGCAUGGUUGAUCCAAACUCAUACUUGAUAAAGGUUAACUUGUCUAAGCUGAAAAGUAUUGAUAGAGUGCAAGAUGAACCCUUUAUCCUUGCUUCUGAGGCAACCCAAGUGUUCUACUCAACAGAUCUUUCUGUUGAGGGAUGGAAUGUGGUCUUACAUACUCCGCAACGAUUAACUUUAUGAGUAGAUGAUAUUUAAAUUCCCACGAGUUAUUGAGAAUGAGAGUUUAGAAAAACUUAUAUGUGUCGAUUCGGUAGUUUAAAAUGAUAUGACUCUCACCGUGUCUAUUUAGCAGUUUUAUCACUGGAACAAUCUAAAUACGUUGUUUUUAUUUAAGAAGUAACAUUAUUAUGUGUGUGCAUCGUGACAAGGUUAUUAUAGAUUUUAUGAGAAUCACAAAAUUACUUGUAGUUUGCAGGUUAUUAUGGCAGCAGAAGUGGAGGUAAAUGAAAAUGGACUUCCUGUUUCCCGUAAUGCAACAAAACUUGGCCACCGGAAGGGCGCCUUGGGAGUAUAUAAUUUACCUGAGACUUCUAAGAAAAAUAUGGUAAAUUCGAUGGUUGAACCAUGGAGGAGGUUUAAGCAUGAGCUACGAGUAGACCAUUAUGAUAUACAUGCUACUCACGAAGAAAGGAUUAGCCACACUCCUCCAAAUGUAAAACAAUAAGACUGGAUAGUAUUUUGUGAGAAUGAAAACAAUGAAAAGGCAACUCAAAGUAGAGUUGCACAUCAGAAGAAAAGAAAACUGUAUGACUACUCUCAUACCUCGGGUCGCAAGCCUCAUUGCUUGGUUAAACCUGAAAUGGAGAGCGAGAAUCCUGGUGUAGAAGUCAGUUCCUCUGAUGUGUGGGUAAAAGCUCAUACACAAGAGGGUGGUGUAAUUUUACCUAGUGCGCAGCCAUACUUCUACAGGCUGAGCUUCAGAAGAAGCAACAAGAGAUCAAAGAGUUGCAAGAUGCGGGUUCUACCAGAAGGUAUAGAUGCAUUGACUCAAGCAUUUGGAAUGGAUUCUAGGGGAUGGGUUCGUGUUGUUGGUCCUGUUUCGCAUACACAGGUUGAGAAUUGUGCUCCUGCGCGUGCUAAAGUACAUGAACUGAAGUCCAAGGAUGUACUUCUUAAGCAUAGGGUGGAUGAAAUAGACAGUGGGGUGGAGGUUCUGAUAGACGGAAUUGGAACAUUACGUCAUGCUGUGAAGGAUAUUCAAGCUGCAAUUCCAUAAUCUUUUGUUGCGUCGAACAGUUCACAUGUCCAGGGGUGUUCAUCUGGUCAUGGAGGUGGUUCACCUGAUCACAGUGGUGCUAACUUAAGUUCACAUGCCGACAACAUAUCUCCAGCUCGAUCAGCAACAACUUCUGGUUUGCCCAUGUGUUCAUUGCUUAACAUCGAGGGUAAUGUCAUCGCAACUGGGAAACUUUGUACUGGUGAUCUAGGAAAAAUGAAUCACGGAUCGCCUGUACCAUCUAAUCUUGUAAAGGUGUUGAUUGAUCGCAUUCUCAUUCUAAAUGAAUUGACCAUAAAAUCUAACCAGUUUGUUACGUCCUUUCAAGAUGUUGGAAUUGGAGGAUUUGUGGUUCACCCAAUGAUGUGCGUCAAAUUUGAUUAGAAGGGUGGAUGUAUUUUUUUGGAGAUAUGUUAUGCUUCAUGGAUGUCUCAGCCAUCGUCUAUAACAAACAAAAACGACUAACAUAAAUGACUUUUAUCUUUUUUUGCUUAUGUUUUAGUUUUUGUACUUAAGCUGAAUAUGCUGAUAGUAAACUCUUAUGCAGCUCUGCAUAUGAAACACUCUUAUCUUAUGCUAGUUGUUGUGCUUAUAGGAGACUCUUAUGCAGUUGUGCAUAAGUAUUUAACU